This 468-nucleotide ribosomal RNA is filed under the name uncultured bacterium. Its description in RNAcentral is "partial 16S ribosomal RNA". It matches the Rfam family "Bacterial small subunit ribosomal RNA", at positions 28 to 507 of the family's 1533-position model. The record is from RNAcentral.
GACGAACGCUGGCGGCGUGCUUAACACAUGCAAGUCGAACGGUAAGGCCCUGCUUUUGUGGGGUGCUCGAGUGGCGAACGGGUGAGUAACACGUGAGUAACCUGCCCUUGACUUUGGGAUAACUUCAGGAAACUGGGGCUAAUACCGGAUAGGAGCUCCUGCUGCAUGGUGGGGGUUGGAAAGUUUCGGCGGGUGGGGAUGGACUCGCGGCUUAUCAGCUUGUUGGUGGGGUAGUGGCUUACCAAGGCUUUGACGGGUAGCCGGCCUGAGAGGGUGACCGGCGACAUUGGGACUGAGGUACGGCCCAGACUCCUACGGGAGGCAGCAGUGGGGAAUAUUGCACAAUGGGAGGAAGCCUGAUGCAGCAACGCCGCGUGCGGGAUGACGGCCUGCGGGUUGUAAACCGCUUUCGCCUGUGACGAAGCGGGAGUGACGGUAAUGGGUAAAGAAGCACCGGCUAACUACGUG